RNAcentral lists this small RNA (1015 nucleotides) under Pan troglodytes (chimpanzee). RNAcentral's name for it is "retained intron". Lineage: Eukaryota; Metazoa; Chordata; Mammalia; Primates; Hominidae. The record is from RNAcentral.
CCAGGACCCUCAGGGGCGGCACGUAAAAACCUAUGAGGUGUCUCUCCGAGAAAAGGAAUUCAAUAAGGGCCCUUGGAAACAGGAAAAUGUCGAAGCUGAAGCUUCCAUGGUGAUCGCAGUCCCAGAGCCCUUUGGGGGGGCCAUCAUCAUUGGACAGGAGUCAAUCACCUAUCACAAUGGUGACAAAUACCUGGCUAUUGCCCCUCCUAUCAUCAAGCAAAGCACGAUUGUGUGCCACAAUCGAGUGGACCCUAAUGGCUCAAGAUACCUGCUGGGAGACAUGGAAGGCCGGCUCUUCAUGCUGCUUUUGGAGAAGGAGGAACAGAUGGAUGGCACCGUCACUCUCAAGGAUCUCCGUGUAGAACUCCUUGGAGAGACCUCUAUUGCUGAGUGCUUGACAUACCUUGAUAAUGGUGUUGUGUUUGUCGGGUCUCGCCUGGGUGACUCCCAGCUUGUGAAGCUCAACGUUGACAGUAAUGAACAAGGCUCCUAUGUAGUGGCCAUGGAAACCUUUACCAACUUAGGACCCAUUGUCGAUAUGUGCGUGGUGGACCUGGAGAGGCAGGGGCAGGGGCAGCUGGUCACUUGCUCUGGGGCUUUCAAGGAAGGUUCUUUGCGGAUCAUCCGGAAUGGAAUUGGAAUCCACGAGCAUGCCAGCAUUGACUUACCAGGCAUCAAAGGUAGCUUUUUUGGUGGACAUAGGAUGCAGAUCUUACAUGAGGGACUUUGGCCUUGUUACAUGUUGUGAAGGCGUUUUGGUGGGAGCCAGAGGAAAGCAGAUCAAGUGAAGAGUGAAAGUCGUAACAACAGAUCAGAAGCUUAAACAUAUCUGAAAGUAUAAAAGUAAACUUUAGAAAAAAAAAAAAGAAAAUACUACUGAUCAAAAUUGGUAGUGGAAUAGAGGACUAGGGGAUUAAAAGAUUAUAAAUUAAAAUUAAUGUUUAUAUGAGGCAACUGAUAGAAUUCAUAAAGAAAGGAGAGACUGAGGAUAUUUUAUGAAGAUAUAAGUAUAAAU